This 2627-nucleotide long non-coding RNA is filed under the name Catharus ustulatus (Swainson's thrush). RNAcentral's name for it is "lncRNA (ENSCUSG00005006352.1)". Lineage: Eukaryota; Metazoa; Chordata; Aves; Passeriformes; Turdidae. The record is from RNAcentral.
AGGCUUCUCGGGGCAGUGGGGACAGGACAGGGACACCCUCAGAAGGACAGAGGUCCCCCUGAAAUGAGGGGGGGACACCUCACAGGUGACAGGGACACCACGAGAGGCUUCUUGGGGCAUUGGGGACAGGACAGGGAUGUCCCCAGAAGGACAAAGGUCCCCCUGAAAUGAGUGGGGGCACCUCUAGGGUGGCCCAGAACUUUCUUCGGGCAUUGGGGACAGGGCAGGGAUGUCCCCAGAGGGACAGAGAACCCCCUGAAAUGAGUUGGGGACACCUCUGAGGUGACCCAGAACCUUCUCUGGACAUUGGGGACAGAGCAGGGACAUCUCCAGAGUGGCACAGGUCCCCUUGAAAUGAGUUGGGGACACCUCUGAGGUGGCCCAGAACUUUCCUCGGGCGUUGGGAACAGGACAGGGACACCCUCAGAGUGACAGAGGUCCCCCUGAAAUGGGUUGGGGACACCUCUGAGGUGACCCAGACCCUUCUCCGGGCAGUGGGGACACAGUAGAGAUGUCCCCAGAGGGGUGGAGAACCCCCUGAAAUGAGGCGGGGACACCUCUAGGGUGGCCCAGAACUUUCUUCGGGCUUUGGGGACACAGCAGGGACAUCCCCAGAGGGACAGAAGUCCCCCUGAAAUGAGGGGGGGACACCUCUGAGGUGGCCCAGAACCUUCUCCGGACAUUGGGGACACAGCAGGGACAUCCCCACAGUGACACAGAUCCUGGAUGAGCCCCCACCGGGUGACAAGGACCGGGCACAGCCUCAUCACGGCCGCCACCUCCAAGCGCCAAAACCCCAAAAACCCCUCCCAACCUCCCCCCAAAAAAAAACAUCAGAGCUGGGAAAAACACCCAAAAAAAAAAUAAAAUAAUAAAUCGAGGAGGGCAAAGCCCAACCCCGAGGCGCGGCGGGGGCAGGGAGGAGGCGCCUGAAUUUUUUUCCGAAAUUUUUUCCGAAUUUUCAGAAUUUUCCCAUUUUUCCGAAUUUUUUUUUUGUUUUGUUUUUUGGAUUUUUGGGGUUUUUUGGUUUUUUUGGGGGGGUGGGGGCUCAAUGCGCGGCUCGAGGAGGGGUCGGCCGGGACGGAUCGGGGAUUGGGGAGGGGGCUGCCCGUUCACAACGCGAGGAGCGAGGGAGAAUUCAAGGAGUCCGAGGACUGGUCGCUGCUGCUGCUCCGCUGGUGCGAGGCUCCACACGUGGCUCCCUCUGGGUGGGUGAACACAAACGCGGGGGUCGCGUUAGGGGGUCCCGCGGGGGCGCAGCAGCCGGGGAAGGGACCCUGCGGGCCCUGGAACGGCGCCGGGGGCAGGAAGGCGACGGUCCCCGCCUUGCCCGGGCUGCUCACCUCGGCCGGGCCGGCGGCCACGUCCUCGAACGGGACCUUGCAGGCGGGAGCGUGCGCCACCAGCACGAACUCCAGGCGCUCCUUCUCCUUGCGCAGCUCCGCGAUCUCCGACUCCAGCUCCGCCUUCUCCUCCUCCAGCUGGUCCGUCUCCUGCGGGGACAGCGCGGUCACCGGGGUGUCCCCAGAGUGUCCUUAAAAUGUCUUUAAAUUGUCCUUGAAGUGUCCUUAAAUUGUCGUCAAAAUGUCCUUAAAUUGUCCUUAAAGUGUCCUGAAAGUCUUUCAAAUGUCUUUUAAAAUGUCUUUAAAUUGUCCUUAAAGUGUCCUUAAAGUGUCCUUAAAUUGUCUUUAAAGUGUGCUUAAAAUGUCUUUAAAAUGUACUUAAAGUGUCCUUAAAUUGUCCUUGAAGUGUCCUUAAAUUGUCCUUAGAAUGUCUUUAAAAUGUACUUAAAAUGUCUUUAAAGUGUCCUUAAAUUGUCCUUAAAAUGUCCUUAAAGUGUCCCCCAAGUGUCCUUAAAAUUGUCCUUGAAAUGUCUUUAAAAUGUCCUCAAUGUGUCCUUAAAUUGACCUUAAAAUGUCUUUAAAAUGUCCUUAAAAUUACUUUAAAGUGUCCUAAAAGUGUCCCCGAAGUGUCCUUAAAUUGUCCUUAAAUUGUCGGCAAAAUGUCCUUAAAAUGUCCUUAAAGUGUCCUUAAAGUGUCCUUAAAGUGUCUUUAAAAUGUGUUUAAAAUGUCCUUAAAGUGUCCCCGAAGUGUCCUUAGAAUGUCUUUUAAAUGUCCUUAAAAUGUCUUUAAAAUGUCUUUAAAGUGUCCUUAAAUAAAUUGUCUUUAAAUUGUCCUUAAAAUGUCGUUAAAAUGUCUUUAAAAUGUCCUUAAAAUACCCUUAAAGUGUCAUUAAAUUUUCCUUAAAUUGUCCUUAAAGUGUCCUUAAAGUGUCUUUAAAAUGUCUUUAAAGUGUCUUUUAAAAGUCCUUAAAUUGUCCUUAAAAUGUCUUUAAAAUGUGUUUAAAAUGUCUUAAAAUUUCCUUAUGAUUUCCUUAAAGUGUCCUUAAAAUGUACUUAAAGUGUCCUUAAAAUGUCCCUAAAAUGUCCUUAAAAUGUCCUUAAAGUGUCCUUAAAGUGUCCCCAAAGUGUCUUUAAAAUUACUUUAAGUGUCCUUAAAGUGGCCUUAAAGUGUCCUUAAAUUGUCAUUAAAGUGUCUUUAAAAUGUCUUUAAAAUGUCCUUAAAAUGACUUUUAAAAGUCCUUAAAGUGUCACCAAAGUGACCUUAAAAUGUCCUUAAAUUGUCCU